GAUGAACGCUGGCGGCGCGCCUAACACAUGCCAGUCGAACGAUUAAAGCACCUUCGGGUGUGUAUAAAGUGGCGAACGGCUGAGUAACACGUGGGCAACCUGCCCCUUUCAUUGGGAUAGCCACGGGAAACCGUGGAUAAUACCGAAUACUUCGAGACUUCCGCAUGGAAGACUCGAGAAGGCUCCGGCGGAGAGGGAUGGGCCCGCGGCCUGUUAGCUUGUUGGUGGGGUAACGGCCUACCAAGGCAAUGAUGGGUAGCUGGGUUGAGAGACCGACCAGCCAGAUUGGGACUGAGACACGGCCCAGACUCCUACGGGAGGCAGCAGUGGGGAAUCUUGCACAAUGGGCGAAAGCCUGAUGCAGCGACGCCGCGUGCGGGAUGAAGGCCUUCGGGUUGUAAACCGCUUUCAGCAGGGACGAGGCGAAAGUGACGGUACCUGCAGAAGAAGCCCCGGCUAACUACGUG
This 467-nucleotide ribosomal RNA is filed under the name uncultured bacterium. RNAcentral's name for it is "partial 16S ribosomal RNA". It matches the Rfam family "Bacterial small subunit ribosomal RNA", at positions 28 to 507 of the family's 1533-position model. The record is from RNAcentral.